GAUGAACGCUGGCGGCGUGCCUAAUACAUGCAAGUCGAGCGAACAGACGAGGAGCUUGCUCCUCUGACGUUAGCGGCGGACGGGUGAGUAACACGUGGAUAACCUACCUAUAAGACUGGGAUAACUUCGGGAAACCGGAGCUAAUACCGGAUAAUAUAUUGAACCGCAUGGUUCAAUAGUGAAAGACGGUUUUGCUGUCACUUAUAGAUGGAUCCGCGCCGCAUUAGCUAGUUGGUAAGGUAACGGCUUACCAAGGCAACGAUGCGUAGCCGACCUGAGAGGGUGAUCGGCCACACUGGAACUGAGACACGGUCCAGACUCCUACGGGAGGCAGCAGUAGGGAAUCUUCCGCAAGGGGCGAAAGCAUGACGGAGCAACGCCGCGGGAGUGAUGAAGGUCUUCGGAUCGUAAAACUCUGUUAUUAGGGAAGAACAAAUGUGUAAGUAACGAUGCACGUCUUGACGGUACCUAAUCAGAAAGCCACGGCUAACUACGU
Molecule: ribosomal RNA, 496 nt
Filed under: uncultured bacterium
Lineage: Bacteria
Description: partial 16S ribosomal RNA
Rfam family: Bacterial small subunit ribosomal RNA
Source: RNAcentral